GAGAUCUUUUGGGAACUCAUUGGCUUCGGGUUCCAUCGGAACUUUGAAGUUAAGCGAGUUCGCGCGAGAGAAAUCCCAAGAUGGGUGACCCACUGAGAAGUUCUCGUGUGAGUUCCCAGAAACAAAACUGUGAGGGCGUGGUUGGGGUCCAAAAUGGACAAUAUCGUGCUACGGUGGAGUCGAGCCCGGGAUGUGGUGGGGGUUCUGGUCACCUAGCAUGAGGCCUUUUGGGAACUCAUUGGCUUCGGGUUCCAUCGGAACUCCGAAGUUAAGUGAGUUCGAGUGAGAGCAAUCCCAGGAUGGGUGACCCCUUGUGAAGUUUUUGUGUGAGUUCCCAUAAACAAAACCGUGAGGGCAUGGCCUGGGACCAAAGCGGACAAUAUCGUGCUACGGCAGAAGCGGAGCUUGGGAUGUGGUGGACCCCGAGUCAGAAUGUGACAAUUUGAUAUCAGAGCCAAUCCUUGGUCAGAAGUGUGUCGACGAGGACAUCGGACCCCUAAUGAGGGUGGAUUGUUAAAUCCCACAUCACCCAGGGGAGUGGAUCCUCUAAGCCUUAUGUGUAUAUUCAUAUCUCUACCUAGCACGAGGUCUUUUAGCAACUCACUGGCUUCGGGUUCCGUAAGAACUUUGAAGUUAAGCGAGUUCGCGCGAGAGCAAUCCCAAGAUGAGUGACCCACUGGGAAGUUCUCAUGUGAGUUCCCA
RNAcentral lists this small RNA (702 nucleotides) under Malus domestica (apple). The record is from RNAcentral. Lineage: Eukaryota; Viridiplantae; Streptophyta; Magnoliopsida; Rosales; Rosaceae.